RNAcentral lists this unclassified non-coding RNA (307 nucleotides) under plant metagenome. RNAcentral describes it as "partial contains 5.8S ribosomal RNA, internal transcribed spacer 2, and large subunit ribosomal RNA". The stretch from base 1 to 105 matches the Rfam family "5.8S ribosomal RNA", at positions 50 to 154 of the family's 154-position model. The record is from RNAcentral.
GAAAUGCGAUAAGUAAUGUGAAUUGCAGAAUUCAGUGAAUCAUCGAAUCUUUAAACGCACAUUGCGCCCGCCAGCACUCUGGCGGGCAUGCCUGUUCGAGCGUCAUUUCAACCCUCAGAACCCCUUGCGGGAUCUGGCGUUGGGGAUUGGCAUCCAGCCAGCCCCGAAAUCUAGUGGCGGUCCCUCCGCGACCUCCCCUGUGCAGUAGCGAUACCUCGCAGCGGGACAGCGGUCUGACCACGCCGUAAAACCCCCAACUUCUCAAGGUUGACCUCGAAUCAGGUAGGAAUACCCGCUGAACUCAAGC